AGGCUGGGGGGUGACCAACAGACAGCGUUACAACCAGGCUCAUGAGCGGUGAAGAUACGGGUAUCACAAGAGCCAUCAUCUUUGAAUUCUAACACAGAAACUUUUCCGUCUGAACUUGCACAAGCUAAUAGAGCACCAUACUCAUGGGGGGCCCAGGAGACAGCAUUAACAGAUGCUUGGUGAGCUGUAUGAUCCAUUAACUCACUCCAAACACCGCCAGUUUCGCGCCAAACAAUAACAUGUCCGUCAUAAGAAGCAGAGGCUAGGAUAGUACCAA
This is a non-coding RNA of Schizosaccharomyces pombe (fission yeast), 277 nucleotides long. The record is from the annotation of a GenBank genome assembly. NCBI's taxonomy places the organism in Eukaryota, Fungi, Ascomycota, Schizosaccharomycetes, Schizosaccharomycetales, Schizosaccharomycetaceae.